This 524-nucleotide ribosomal RNA is filed under the name uncultured bacterium. RNAcentral's name for it is "bacterial SSU rRNA". It matches the Rfam family "Bacterial small subunit ribosomal RNA", at positions 28 to 524 of the family's 1533-position model. The record is from RNAcentral.
GACGAACGCUGGCGGCGUGCCUAAUACAUGCAAGUCGAACGACGAGACUUUAACUGAUGCUUGCAUCGACCAAAGGAUCGGAGUGGCGAACGGGUGAGUAACACGUGGGUAACCUGCCUAUCAGAGGGGGAUAACACUUGGAAACAGGUGCUAAUACCGCAUAACAAUCAUAACCGCAUGGUUAUGAUUUGAAAGGCGCUUCUGGUGUCACUGAUAGAUGGACCCGCGGUGCAUUAGCUAGUCGGUGGGGUAACGGCCUACCGAGGCGAUGAUGCAUAGCCGACCUGAGAGGGUGAUCGGCCAUAUUGGGACUGAGACACGGCCCAAACUCCUACGGGAGGCAGCAGUAGGGAAUCUUCGGCAAUGGACGGAAGUCUGACCGAGCAACGCCGCGUGAGUGAAGAAGGUUUUCGGAUCGUAAAGUUCUGUUAUUAGAGAAGAACACGUGUAAGAGUAACUGAUUAUGCGUUGACGGUAUCUAAUCAGCAAGUCACGGCUAACUACGUGCCAGCAGCCGCCGUAAC